Molecule: ribosomal RNA, 469 nt
Filed under: uncultured bacterium
Lineage: Bacteria
Description: partial 16S ribosomal RNA
Rfam family: Bacterial small subunit ribosomal RNA
Source: RNAcentral
GACGAACGCUGGCGGCGUGCUUAACACAUGCAAGUCGAACGGAAAGGCCCUGCUUGCAGGGUGCUCGAGUGGCGAACGGGUGAGUAACACGUGGGUGAUCUGCCCCUUAUUUUGUGAUAAGCCUGGGAAACUGGGUCUAAUACUGGAUAGGACCAUGCUGUAGGUGGUGUGGUGGAAAGAUUAGUUUCGGUAAGGGAUGAGCUCGCGGCCUAUCAGCUUGUUGGUGGGGUAAUGGCCUACCAAGGCGUCGACGGGUAGCCGGCCUGAGAGGGUGGACGGCCACAUUGGGUCUGAGAUACGGCCCAGACUCCUACGGGAGGCAGCAGUGGGGAAUAUUGCACAAUGGGCGCAAGCCUGAUGCAGCGACGCCGCGUGGGGGAUGACGGCCUUCGGGUUGUAAACUCCUUUCAGCCAUGACGAAGCCCUUGUGGUGACGGUAGUGGUAGAAGAAGCACCGGCUAACUACGUG